This 130-nucleotide non-coding RNA is filed under the name unclassified sequences. RNAcentral's name for it is "DUF3800-I RNA". It matches the Rfam family "DUF3800-I RNA". From Rfam's summary of the family: Actinobacteria, Firmicutes, Fusobacteria, Proteobacteria (1 example), Tenericutes (2 examples). Terminator (Clostridia) The record is from Rfam by way of RNAcentral.
UAACACUGCGGGUAGAAGAUGUCUAUGCCGUAUACUCUGCGGUAUCGAAUUAGCGUUUAAGCGAUCUUGUAAGAUAGCCGACCGUGGGGGCUUAGGGUUGCUUAAAUGUUGGCAACCCUAUUAUUUUUUA